GACGAACGCUGGCGGCGUGCUUAACACAUGCAAGUCGAACGGAAAGGCCCUGUCUUUGUGGGGUGCUCGAGUGGCGAACGGGUGAGUAACACGUGAGUAACCUGCCCUUGACUUUGGGAUAACUUCAGGAAACUGGGGCUAAUACCGGAUAGGAGCUCCUGCUGAAUGGUGGGGGUUGGAAAGUUUCGGUGGUUGGGGAUGGACUCGCGGCUUAUCAGCUUGUUGGUGGGGUAGUGGCUUACCAAGGCUUUGACGGGUAGCCGGCCUGGGAGGGUGACCGGCCACAUUGGGACUGAGAUACGGCCCGGACUCGUACGGGAGGCAGCAGUGGGGAAGAUUGCACAAUGGGCGGAAGCCUGAUGCAGCAACGCCGCGUGCGGGAUGACGGCCUUCGGUUUGUAAACCGCUUUCGCCUGUGACGAAGCGUGAGUGACGGUAAUAGGUAAAGAAGCACCGGCUAACUACGUG
Molecule: ribosomal RNA, 468 nt
Filed under: uncultured bacterium
Lineage: Bacteria
Description: partial 16S ribosomal RNA
Rfam family: Bacterial small subunit ribosomal RNA
Source: RNAcentral